Molecule: long non-coding RNA, 1639 nt
Organism: Manacus vitellinus (golden-collared manakin)
Lineage: Eukaryota; Metazoa; Chordata; Aves; Passeriformes; Pipridae
Exons: 4
Source: RefSeq, a predicted model, not a curated record
CCCCCCCGGCAGGGGAAAGGAGUGAGGGAACUUCGCCAGCAUGGCUUUGUGCCCUCGUGAGAAAGGAGAGUAGAAGCCUCGGAGCACACAGAGGUCCAUCUAGCCCUGAUCUCUGGUACAAAACACUAUCUGUUGGUUGGAACAUAGGGGCAUAGAAGAACCUACUGCUUUUGGUCCUAAGAGCAGCAGAGCAGCAUCCAGGACAGCCAACCUCCUCAGUGGUGGUGCCAACUACAGCCCCUCUUAGAGUUGUGCUGGACCUACCUUUGCAUCCCUUCAUGGAGCUGAGAUGGAUAUUUCAGACCCUCUUGGUGAUGAGAGUCCUGUCUGGACACUUGCCAAUGUUCAGGAUGCUUUAAUGUAAACACUGGGUUCACCUGGAGGAUGUCCCCAUGUAAACCAACUAUACAAGCUCAGAUUUUUCAUAAGCUGGCCAGACCUCUUGAAGCAGUCCAAAGAAUGUUGCAUCAAUGUAUGGGAAGAGACUUAAUCUACUUUUACAUCCAUUUUCAAUAAAACACAAUUUUCUCCAAAACAUCUGCCUAAAACCUUUGCCCCCCAACUUGAAAUACGUUUCUGAAUGUAAUAAAAUUUUCAAUUACACCAGCAAAGUAGAUAUUAACAUUUAUAUCUCUGAGUAUCAGGACUUCCCAUCCCUCAAGAGAUGUCUCCUCUGUAUCUUUGCAAACUUGAUAAAUGAAGCACGAUAAAUUCAACUGAUGUCCCACCUUCACAACAGGGUUAUUAUAAAACAGGGAAAAGAAUGAUCCUACAGUAAGUGGAAUCAAAAAAAAAAAAAAUCUCCCUGUUUUCUUAGUAUACCCAGAAAUUUCUGGCAAAAAUUAGGAAAAGGUGUUUCACUCCUGUAUGUGAACAUAACUGUAAGGGCAGCUUGCCAUAUGCUUCACUCAUUUACAGAAAAUAUCCCUGGGAUAGAUGACCCAACUGUACAAAAAUAACAGCCUGGUGAUAAAUUUAAUGUGCAACUUUGACCUACUGUCUUUCUAAUACUCCACCUCCUCAGGACUUUCUCAUUUCCUAGCCCCCUUACCUGUGGCUCUGUCUUCCUCCAUUUCUUUUGUCUUUGUUUUUGCUUUUGCUUAUGAUUUUCCUUUUCCUUUUUCUUUUUCUUUAUUAAAUUCAAACUACAGGACAAAUGUUUCUUUCCCUUUGUCCAGGUAUGGAGAUUUCACCACUCUAGGCUAAAGGCAAGUGAAAGUCUACUCAAUACUAGUGGAAGCUUUGUACAGGGACAAAAAAAAAUCACUCUGGGAAAGUGAGGCAUUUUGUGUCAUGAAGAAAACAAUGCUGAAAUGUCACUGCUGUUGAAGUGAGAGGAAAUCUCCCCCUGGAUUUCAGUUAACUGGUGCCUUGGUCCUGGAAUUUGGGACCAAGGAGCUGGAUGUCAUGAGGGGACAGUUGACGGUCUUGGCCAGAAACAUGGCAGUCGUGUCCCAUGGGAGCUGAUGCCACUGCUCACUCUCACUCACCACCAGUGCCAUAACAAACAGAAAUGGUGUUGUGGAAACAUGGUCUUCAUUGCGUCAUGGGAAGAUGUAACCCUCUGCGACCAAUCACUGUGGUCACCCCAGAGGACUGUGCUGGGCUGGUAUCAGCCACUCCUUCACUCUCUCCUUAU